CAUCCCUAUGAUGAAUAUUUAUGAAGUUUUAACGUUAAAAGUAGACUGAUAUUCUUUGAAGAGAAAUGAGUUCUGAGGGAUG
RNAcentral lists this small nucleolar RNA (82 nucleotides) under Olea europaea subsp. europaea. Its description in RNAcentral is "Small nucleolar RNA R21". It matches the Rfam family "Small nucleolar RNA R21". Rfam says of the family: snoR21 is a member of the C/D class of snoRNA which contain the C (UGAUGA) and D (CUGA) box motifs. Most of the members of the box C/D family function in directing site-specific 2'-O-methylation of substrate RNAs. Lineage: Eukaryota; Viridiplantae; Streptophyta; Magnoliopsida; Lamiales; Oleaceae. The record is from Rfam by way of RNAcentral.